This 2189-nucleotide long non-coding RNA is filed under the name Homo sapiens (human). RNAcentral describes it as "non-protein coding lnc-SGK1-4:1". The record is from RNAcentral. Lineage: Eukaryota; Metazoa; Chordata; Mammalia; Primates; Hominidae.
AGAUGCAACCCCAGGAGACGUCCCUGUGGCAGCCAGUGUCAGCUGCUUCCUUCCCCAGCGUUUUGCUUCAGCCCUCACUCCUCAGCCACUUCCACUGCUCCUGUGGUUAGUGACCGCCUCUGCCUCCUCCACUACCCGGACAGCUUGGUGAAUACUUCCAGGGAAAAUUCUGCUUAAAUUCCGCUGGUGGCAUGCCCAUAAGCAUUUCCAGAUCUGAAGGCGCUUGCGCCUUUCCUAGUACUCUACUGUCCACAGGGCCACAGAGUCUCAACUGCUGGAUAUUGUCCAAGUCCUCUUCAUUGCAGCUGUGAUGGCUACACGGCCAGGCCUGGCUCGGAGGCACAAAGCCGGUUUUUUGUGUGACCACAGAAAGGUCAUCCCAACACUGAAUUUUAUCACCCCUUGGGGAGAUGCUAACAUAGGAGUCAAAAUAGCGAAGGUUUAAGGUGAGAGGCGCGCUCCCGGUUACAGGUAUCCGUGGUCAUUCUUCUGAAUCUCUAGAAAUCGGACUCAGGCGCUCCUCUCUUUGGGGCUCCUCGCAGGCGACUGCAUUUGCUGCGCGGCGCGGCCAGGCGGGUCCUUAGCGCCGGCACCGUCGCCCUCGGCAUCCCACAGCGCGCAGCGCAGCCACCGCUCUUCUCUCCCACCUGCUCCGUGCAGAAGGGAAGAAGAGCCAGUCGAGCUGGAGGUCCAGCCAGCCCUUGGCCUCCAAGAAGGAAAAGGACGGCGCUGAGAAGCGAGGUGGGGGCAGCUCCACGUCCGAAGGAGCCCAGCACGUGCUAACACCUAAGACCCUGGGCAACCGAAAGGAAGCAAACCCCAGGAUGCUGCCACGACCCGGAAAACCACCACAGCUCCAGGAGGGAAAGCAAAGGGCCGGCCCAAAACACUGGGAAGGAGGAAGAGGGAGCAUCUCUCGGGAGUCCUCCCGGGAGGAGCCACUUCCUUCUGGGACCGGACAGUUUUGCUCACCCCCAUUGCCCCUGUCCUUCCCCCAGGCCACCGUCACCUGCACCGCCCACCUGCGUCCUCACCACCGCGGCAGGGCCCCUGUUGGCCCAGUGACAGCAGUGUUCCUCUGGCUUCAGUUCCCAGCCACGCACACACUUGCCCUCCUGGACGAGGGUAACAGCCCACUUCACGCUGCUGCACCUGCUGCGGCCCCACUCCCUUGUUGGUGGGGACUUUGCUUUCUGGGUUUCUGCUUUGGGGGCUCCUUCUCGGCUCCUCCACUGUUUCCUCUGACUUCCCAGAGGGCUCCCCGGCCAUAAAAGAGGCCCAAGCCCCAUCUCAUUCUGGCAUGUCCCACUCUAUUGUCCUGGAGGCAGCACCUGUGGCCAUUGGAGGGGGGUGCUCCCAGAAUGCCCCCAGCCAACCUGUGUCUUUGUCACCACGUGGGGCUCACACAUCCAUCUUUCAUCUUCCCCCACCUUUCCUAGUUCCUGCACCAGGUUGGACAGCUCCCUUUGUAGUACAGGAAGGCAGGCAGGGUUUGAGACCCCUACCCCAUUUUCACAGGGGCCCCAGCUCCCUUGCCCUCAGCCUGGGCUCUGAGUACACAUUGCAGUGAUGGAGAUGUAGAGUCACGGGUUGUUCAGGUGAGGCCCAGGUUCCCUGGGCAGCCACCUGAGGCCGCCUGGGGUUGCUCACCCAACCCUACCUGUUCCCACCACUCGGUCUAUUUCCCCCUCCUCAGACAGGACACUAAUAACAAGGAGCUUGCCCUGCAGGCUCCCAACCCUCCCGCUCUUCCCUACCCCACAGGGUUCUGGUUCCAUCAUUUCCUCUGUUCACAAACUAUCACUGGACAGUUGUGUUGUCUCUUGUACAAUGUUCCAUUCUUCAACAUCUAUCAUUGCUGCUGCUCCCAGCACCAAAUGUUCACCCUCUGCCUCCUGCUCUGCACACAUUCCCCUCCCUCAAGAUAGCCUCCAUGAGACAGGGGGUCUGCAGCUUGGCAGGCUGGCUGGGUUACUGACUAUCCCAGUCCCAGGGAAGAUAGGGCCCUGUCUCUAGGAUGCUGCAGCAGAGUGAGGAGGGGCACUCAAAUUGACCCUAAAGGGUGGAGGGGCCACCUUCUCCCCCUGUUUGGUUGGGGAAUGGGUAGUUAUUAUUUGUCUCAGCUUGGGGCUCUGCCUCUAGCUUCCUACUUGCAGUUACUUAAGUUAAAAAAGAAAAUCCUGUUCUAA